Molecule: ribosomal RNA, 530 nt
Filed under: uncultured bacterium
Lineage: Bacteria
Description: bacterial SSU rRNA
Rfam family: Bacterial small subunit ribosomal RNA
Source: RNAcentral
AGCUGAUCAGCAUGCCGCGUGCAGGAUGAAGGCCUUCGGGUUGUAAACUGCUUUUGUACGGAACGAAAAAGCUUCUCCUAAUACGAGAGGCCCAUGACGGUACCGUAAGAAUAAGCACCGGCUAACUACGUGCCAGCAGCCGCGGUAAUACGUAGGGUGCGAGCGUUAAUCGGAAUUACUGGGCGUAAAGCGUGCGCAGGCGGUUAUGUAAGACAGAUGUGAAAUCCCCGGGCUCAACCUGGGAACUGCAUUUGUGACUGCAUGGCUAGAGUACGGUAGAGGGGGAUGGAAUUCCGCGUGUAGCAGUGAAAUGCGUAGAUAUGCGGAGGAACACCGAUGGCGAAGGCAAUCCCCUGGACCUGUACUGACGCUCAUGCACGAAAGCGUGGGGAGCAAACAGGAUUAGAUACCCUGGUAGUCCACGCCCUAAACGAUGUCAACUGGUUGUUGGGAAUUAGUUUUCUCAGUAACGAAGCUAACGCGUGAAGUUGACCGCCUGGGGAGUACGGCCGCAAGGUUGAAACUCAAAG